CGGACUUCAUAUAAGCUUAAAUGCACUGAAGUUGUGUAGGUUAAAACAUAUUCUUUUUCCAGAAGCUUUUCAAAUGAAAUAUUAAAAUUACUGAGAUCCUUUGUUCAAAAGAAAGUAAUAUAAAAUAAUUAUUGAUAAUCUGGCAUUAAAUUUGCUUCAGGUAUAAAUACUAUAGAAUUCCAAACUUUGAAAAUAAUGAGUAUUAUAUUUGAAAAUUACUUAAAAAUAUUAGAGAUGUAUGAGAAGGGUAGACAUGGAGAUGUAUCAGAAGGAUAUUCUUAUGCAGUUUUAAUUUAACAUGGUUAAAUUUAACAUACAUGGUUGUUUUAACAUAUGAAUUAAAUUAGUAUAUUUGGUUAGUUUUAAAUGUAAAUAUACAUAUAUGUAUUAAAUAUACAUAUAUGUAUAGGUAUGUGAGUAUACAUAAUGUAUACAUACAUGUGUAUGUGUAAUAUGUGUAAUAGGAACAAACAUUCCUUCAAAACCUCAAUAUUAAGAUUAAUGAUACCAAUAUUUCAUAAUUACAGCCUCCUAUAAAAAGCCUAUCUGUAACAAAAAGUCUUCUCAUGGCUCCCUGAAUUAACUUUUGCACAUUAAAUGCAAGUUAAUUGUCCAAAUCUAUCUGGAAUUUCCCUAUACAGUUGAUAAGUAUCAUGAACCCUUCACAGAUGAUAGUAAAUGGUACUAUCAGUGAAAAUGGAGUCACUUAUUAUGAAAAAUUAAGAGGUCUAAAACACCCAGCAAACUAAAAUGGCAUCCUAUCAAUUUUUAACCUUAGAUGUGAUCAAAAUAGGCUAUUACUGCAAUAAUUAAGCAAUAAUUCAUCACUGAAAUGAUAAUGCUAUUAAAUCUGGUCAGCAAAGGGAAUGUGAUAAGGUUAUAAAAUAAGUGCUUAAGUUAUGUUAGGAGUUAUAAGUUAAAAGAUCAACUAAUAUAAAUAAUAUGAAGGGGCAUAAUAUAAAUGGCCACAAUUCUUAUAACACCAAAUAAUGUAUAAAAGUAUUGGCAUAAAAACAAUUUAUGUUAUUUUAAUAUUUCUAAUGAAGAAUUUCAUCAAUUGGAAAUAAUUUCACUAGUAGAUAUGCUGUGUCCAAAUUGGGUUUUAAAUGUAGAAAGUUAUUAAAUGAGCUCUAUUUAAGUCAGUUAUCUACCAUAUCAUUAAUCCUAUGGUAUUGGUCCAGUAAUUUUAAAAAGCUCUUUCUGUAAAUACAUAACGGAAGGAAAAGGGAGAAAAAAGUGUCAUUUGUGUACCUGCUGUUAAAAUGGUCAGAGAACAAGUUCUGAAUUGCAUUUAAUUAUGCCAGUCUCCAAUAUAGUGGUGAUUGAGCUUAGGCAAUAAUCAUAAUAUUUUCCUCAUUAAGGCCUUAUGCUGUCAUUACCAGUAGUAAAGAAUUACAGGUCACACCACCACCUAUGGAUUAUGAGCCAUUAUCACAAACUCUAAGGGGACUGUCCCCAGACAAUAUCAAAUAGCCAAUAUGAACUUUAUAUUUUCAGAAAAGGGAAAAGAAAAUAGAAUUAUUACUUAUAAUAUUCAAAUGUAUUAAGCAAAGUACAGUAUUUCACAUAGAUGUGUUUCUUUUUGUUUUUGAUAUUGAGAAAGUCCUAAAAUUUUUUUCAUAAAAAUAACUCUGGUAUGCUAAGUGUUGGACCAGUUUUUGGCAGUUUUUAUCACUUAUUCAUUCUUUCAUACUAGGCACCUGGCUAUCAUCUGAAUUAUCUCAAUUCCACCUUUCAGUUAAUAACUCCAUGUCUUUGUUACCAGGUUUGACAGGUUUUUAACAGCUAUUUUUUCCAUAACUAUUGUUAAUACUCUAACUAAAUAAGGGGUAAGUGGAUCUUAUCUACACUACUAAAUAGUCAUAAUGUCUCCUUAGGUCUCCAGUCUAUCUUUUGUUUUCAUUUUUUAAAAGUUUUAUUGAAGUAUAGUUGAUUUACAGUGUUGUAAUUUCUGCUGUGCAACAAAGUGAUUCAGUUAUAUGUGUAUGUACAUCCAUUCUCUUUCAGAUUCUUUUCCUACAUAGAUUAUUACAGAAUAUUGGAUAGACUUCUUUGUGCUAUACAAUAGGUCCCCAUUAACCAACCAUUUUUUAUACUUCAGUGUGCAUGUGCCAGUCCCAAACUCCCAGUCUAUUCCUCCCUACCAACUGUUCCUUUUGGUAAUCAAAAGUUUGUUUCCAAAGUAGCUUUGUAGCAUGGUCUGAAGUUGGCAAGCCUGACUCAUCCAGCUCUAUUUUUCUUUCUCAGGAUUGUUUAGGCUAUUCAAGGUCUUUUGUGUUUCCAUACAAAUUUAAUUUUUUUUCUAGUUUUAGUUUUAAUUUUGUUCUAGUUCUGUGAUAAAUGUCAUUGGUAAUUUGAAAAGGAUUGCAUUGAAUCUGUAGAUUUCCUUGGGUACUAUAGUUAUUUUGACAAUAUUGAUUCUGUUUUUAUCAUCUUUGAAAAUUAUAAGACACCAAUGAAGGAAAUCAGAGUACAGGUCUUUUGUUUCUCCCUGUAGGUUUAUUCUUAAUUUUUUUCUUCUUUUUGAUGUGAGGGCAAAGGGGAUUAUUUGCCUAAUUUCUCUUUUUGAUUUUUUAUUGUUCAUGUAUAGGAAUGCAACAAAUUUCUGUGUAUUAAUUUUGUAUUCUGCAAAUUUACCAACCUCAUUGUAGUUUUAUUCAUUUACACCUUUUAUGUAUUCUCUAGAGAGGCUCCUCUAAAACAAAACAUUUUAUGUUUUUAGGCAGUUUCUCAUUGCUUUAAAUGUGAUAUACAUUCGGUCACCUAGAUAAGUGGGUCUAAAACAUUAUUGUGCAUGUAAAUCCUUUGGUGAACUGGUUAGCUUAGCAAUUUCACUUGCUAGAUUCCAGACCCUCAAAAGUCUAAUCAAACAGGGUCUACAUGGAUUCAGGAAUCUACAUUUUAAUUAGCACCCACUGUGUGCUAGAUGAUCUAGUUAUCUUACCCCUAGCCACUUCCCCAACAUUUACCAUAUUUUAGGCAUACUUAAACAAAAUCACUUGUAGUAUUCCCUCUUCCUUCAUGCUGAGAGGUGCUGACAGUAGACUAUAAACAAAAAUUACGUCUAUAAUAAGUGUUAUGAAGAAAUAAGAUAAAGGCAUAGAAAAAGGACUAUAUUUUUAUAGGAUGGCAGUGAAGGCUUCUCUGUUACAGUAACUCUGAAUUGAGAUCCUAAUGAAGUAAAGGAGAAAGCCGUAUUAACAUCUGUGUUAAAAUCAUUCUGGACAAAGACAAAGGUCCUGAAUCUGGAGUUCCAUGACAAAGGAAUUAUAAUAGGAGACACAGUGUGAGAUGCAGGUAGGAACAUCAUCUUUUAGGGCUGGAUAAUAGAGAUUUCCAGUAAAGAAUACCAAGAAUGCCUAGGUAAAAAUGACCACCUGCUAAUGAAUUUUUCUGAGGUAGAAGAGUUAUGAUAAAUUUGACUUUUAAUAAAAUUGGAAGACAUUGUAGAGGAGUAGCUCUCAAUCUUUAGCAAGAAUCAGAGUUCCCUGCUAGGCUGGUUAAAACAUAUUGCUUGGCCUCAUCCCCAGGGUUUUCUGAUUCAGUAAUUUGGGGAGUUGGGCUUGAGACUCUGCAUUUCUAACAAGUUCCUGGUGAUGCAGAUACUACUGGUCUAAAUUCAAUAAUCCAAAAAUAACCAUUAAAAUAUUUUCAGCUAUGUAAUAACAAAAGAACAAUUUAUAAAUUCAGAGUGUCUAAAGGUUGAUUAGGAGUCAAUUAAGCUAAGACCUAGGGAGAGUUAGGACAAUUUCUGGCAAGAACAGAAUUCCUGAAAUCUUCAAGAAGUAAGGGAUUGAUUUCAUUUGUUUUUUAAGCUAACAAAGACUGGCAGUGAGAUUGCAGUGUGAAUAGUGAAAGGAAGGUGAUAAGAGAAGAACUCAGAUUGUGGCAGGAGAGAGAUCAAGGUAGAAAAAGAUCCUUCAAGGCUUUGUAGGCCAUGGUAAUUUAAAAAAUAAAAUUACAUUAAAAAUCUCUUUGAUGGAUUGAAAUGACGGAGUAACAUCAGAAUUAUUCUAAGUGUUUGAGGGAAAACUGAAUCUAUUGGGGAUUAAUAAACCAAGGAAGGAAAUAAAAGGACAGGAAUCAUUGAUUUCAGAAAAAAGUUGUAGUGGUUGAUUUCAUGUGUACAUAAAGAGUAUUAAUAACAAAAAUAAUUUACAUUUUUAGUCUUUCUGAAAUUUUCAAAAUAUUAUACAUAAAUUAACUUGACAACAAUCACUUGAAGUAGAUAUAAAUUAAUACCUCCUAUGAGAAUAUGAGGAGAGUUUCUCCCAAAAUGAACUGAAUUCUUGCCACUAUCAAAUAGAUCGAGGAGAUAUACUGGGAGAGAACAUGACACUUAAAGACAAAGUGAUCUCAGCCAUAUCAGAGGGUUGGGAGCACAAAGUAGCCCACAGGAAAAAGAUAGAAACACCUAAGGACAGAAACCACAAGAUACUGGUAUAUGCCCAUAUCUUGAGUAGGCUUGAUACAUAUAAAAAGGAAUUGGUAAAUCAUAAAAGGUAAAACAAAAAUGGCCAAGUAUAACAGCUGUGUUAUUUAUACAUACUGAAGUUUAUUAGUCAUGAGUUCACUUACAUAAUAAUCUUUGAGAAAAAAAUGCAGCUCUUUUAGUAAAAGUGCCUGUAAAUAGGCAGACAGAACUGCAAAUAUAUACUAGGUUGAUUUAAAUAGUUGUAUGUUUUCAGAUUUCUUAUUAUACUGGAGUAUAUAGCUUUUUAAAGCUAUGGAAGGACAUUUUGGAAAAUGGAAAUUAAAAACAAAUCCCUCAAUAGAAAACAUUAAAUUCAUGUAGCUUGGAAAGGGACAUUGGAAAGUAGUUUCAUGCUACUUCAUUUAUCCAGUUUUUACCUCAUACCUACAUACUCAUAUUGCAUCUACAUUUACUAUUCUAUAUGAAUUUAUUCUUUUGUAUGGGGAAAUAUGAAGAGAUUAGAUCAGAAUAAUAACCACAAAAAGAACAAAAAGAAAUGGAGGAACAGAGGAAUUGAAAUAGCUCAAUUUAAGAAAAUGCCCAACUAUUUGUUGAAGAAAUAAAGUAAUUUUUAGCUAUCAAGCAUUAGUAAGCACUAGUGCCUGGCAUUCUAAUAUUAGAAUUAUACCAUUUUUGUGCAAACUACCUACUUUAUGUAGAAGGAGAAGCUGUGAUCUAGUAGACCAACAGAACCUAAACUUGGAUUUAUGUACUCAUCCUAUUUUGCUAUCAUUUCUUAAUUGAAAUAUAUAUACCUUACCUUUCUUACUCCUAGACCAAUUCCAUCUUGUGACCUGGAAUACAUUUAUAAGGGUGCUAAUUUUGUGGCGAGGGCAAA
Molecule: long non-coding RNA, 5312 nt
Filed under: Sus scrofa (pig)
Lineage: Eukaryota; Metazoa; Chordata; Mammalia; Artiodactyla; Suidae
Description: lncRNA (ENSSSCG00000052880.1)
Source: RNAcentral